RNAcentral lists this long non-coding RNA (3750 nucleotides) under Solanum lycopersicum (tomato). RNAcentral describes it as "partial TCONS_00146262". Lineage: Eukaryota; Viridiplantae; Streptophyta; Magnoliopsida; Solanales; Solanaceae. The record is from RNAcentral.
CUCUCAUAAAUCCGUUGCACAUCCAUCCUCUCUCCUCAAUAUAUUCCAGCGAAAGCCGCUAGAGGAAGACUCUCUCGAUCUCCCGUCGCUCCUCUCCUCUCUUCUCUUCUCCUUUAACUCUAUUUUUAUCGAUUUCGGCGAAGAGCGAAGAGAUUGGACAGCAGCUACAGAUGGUGAACCUCUCUCCUUCUCAUUGCUCUCCUCUUUGAUCUCUCCUCACCUUGCGAACAAUAGCAACAAUAGUUGCUUGGUCAAGGAGUGAUGGAUGUCAACGAGCAAUAACAACAAACUCCGAGCAGCGAAUUCCAACAACUGCAGCACCUCAACGAGUGACUCAACUUCGACAACCACUUGCAUCAUCCGAUAAGGACAUCGACCUUGAACAAUGACAACAACUCCAACGAUUAGAAAAAGUCCGACCAAGCUAGAUCCGGCAAAGUCCAAGUUUUUGGUUGGUAAACAGAUUUCGAUAGAUCCAUCCAAGUUAGUUUAAUUAAUGUAUGGCCCCUUUUAAACAAUUUGUUCUUGAUUUUUAAUUAUUGAAUUUUAUUUUGGGAAUUCGAGUAUCAUUUUAUCUCGUUUAUGCAUCAUUGUCUACAGCCUAUUUGAAAUGGUAGGACUACAAAUUUGUUCUUGAUGGAUUAGAACUUUCAGUUCAAAACUCAUGCCCUCUUGCUUAAGGGUUAUAUGGAGGAUUUCUCCAUUUAAUCUCGUGAUAUUAUUCACAGUUGAUUGUUUGGCAUGUUCAUACUGAGAUUUGUUUUCCCAGAUGGAAUUGCUAAUUUCUUAUUUAUUGUUAUAUUUGCUUCUCCUAAUUGAUCCUAAUUGUUGCUUCCCGUAAAAUCCAAGUUUGAUCUUUUGCUGAUAAUCUUUUCCAUUGUGUUUAAAUUGAUGUUGUAAUAUACUAAUUAGUCAAUUUGAAUUGAUAAUUGAUUCUUAUACAUGUGGUAAUCUUAAAUUUGGUCAUUUAUUGAGUUGUUUUGAAUAAGCUUAUCCAUUUUAAAUUGAGGUAAUGACUGCUAGAUUUAUUCUUUUACAUUCAUUAUUUUUCUUUUUGUUUAAGUAAAUGUGUUGCAGGAUUAUUUCAUUACGUGAUUUAGUGACCGUUUUUAAUUAACCUCUUGACAGUAUAUAACUUGAAAGAUUCUUACGCAAUCCUUCUUUGGUAAGUCUAUUCCCCUUAAGGUAAAAAUUGUGUAUUAGUUUUAAUCUUAUAUGGUUAAUAUUAUUGAUCCCUAGGAUAUUUCCUUUCCUUUUGUAACACCCCAGAAAAAAUUUUAAACUAAGACUUGAGUUGUUCAUCGUAAUGAGUGAGCUCUUACGAAGGAAUUUAAAAUUUCUUAUUAUUAAGGUUAGUUCACUAGAUUUAGGUUCUUGAGUUCCAAAAAGACUUACAUUGAGAAAUAGUAAAAUCUAAAAUUUGAAUAGCUAAGUUAAGUAUGAGUUUUGGGUCAACUUAAAACAACCACAAUUGAGAGGUAUUUACCUAAAAAUAAUGAGGGGUAUUUUGGUCCUUUCCUUAUCAAAUUAGAUUUAAUUUAUUUUUAGUAAUAUUUUAGAGAUAUAAUACUUUUGGUUCAAUUUUACAAUCCUAAUCUAUGCCAAGGAUUUUUAGUUGAGAGUUGAAGAAGAGACAAGAAGAGAAACGAAGAGAAAAGAGAAAAGGAUGAAGGCACACAUCGAACUUCUUGAUUUUUGCUGCGGAUUAUCACCAUGGGUUUAAUCCAUAAGAGAAACAGCUAUAAAGAUCAUCAACAUGAGCUUCGUUGACACAUCCUAGAGUUUGAGUUAGCUAUGUUGAUCCUCCUUGCUUCUGGAGUAUUCAUUUACUUUUUUUAGUUUAGUUAGGAUGUCGUGGGUCUUGACCCAACUUCCAUCUUUAUAUUUCAAAGGCUUCAUACACAGUCAGUUUAGUUAAGAAGUUUGUAUUAUUCUUUUAUUUUAUUAAAUUAUUAAAGAUUUAAAUUGCCUAUUAUAUGGCGAAUUGAAUACAUUAUUGUAUUCAAUGUUUUUCUUUUGAGUUAAAGUUUGUAAUUAAGUUCAAUGAAUUUUAUUCAGUGUUUUUAAGAUUUGUUCGCUUAAGUUAGUCUUUCGCUUGUAGUCAGCCAGGAUAAUGUUUGCUUGGGGACCAUCAAUAGACUUUGAGUGCCGACCACGUCCAAGGUGUUGGCUCGGGUCUUGACACCUUUAGUAAUCGGCCCUUACCCUAGUAUAUAAGAAAGACACUCUCCUCAUUGUUAAGGACAUGCUUUUGACAUUGGCUUACACCUAAAGAAAAAAAGACUUAAAAAAAUUCGUUUUUGACUAUAAAAAGGACACAAGUUCUCUCGGUUCAAAACAUUAAAGGUUCCUCUUUUAUCUGUUGUUUUUCUAUGUUUGGAUCAAUUAUCAGAUCAAUCAUGUCUUUAUUACUGACUGCUAUUUUACUACUUAAGCGGUUAGUGUCUUUCACACCUCUAUUUAGUUUUAGUAUCACUAGUUUAAUUGUUGUUAUGUAUAAGUCCGAAAUUGGACAUUGAUAAAUAAAAGGAAGCAUCCGAGUUAGUUUCCUUAUCCUUCAUUUCAAUGUGUGAUCUUAUAUGACUUGAUGAAAUUCGUUUUGUUAAAUGUGAAUAGUUUUUGUGUUUCUAUGUAACAAUCAUUAUUAUGUGAUGAUCUCAUGUGGGGUGUUAUUAUGGUUUACAGGUUUGAACUCGAAGUUAAAGUUGAAAAGUUGUCAUGAAAAGAGAUUAUUUAAUUUAUGUAUUUUUAUUUCGGUUCGUAAUAUUAGUUUAACUCUAAAACUCUCUCUAUAUAUGAUAAUAUUUGAGGAUAGUUUGGGGGGAAGGAAACUACAUGAUAAAUGUUUCUUUUACUUUUGUUAUUAAAUUUAUUUGAAUACGUCUGGUUGUUAAAUCUUUCUAUAUCGCUUAGCAAAAAGAUUUUGGUAAAUGUGUUAUAAUAACCGAUCUAAAACAAGGUGUUAGUAGCCUGUAAUUUUGCUUUACUUUUAACUUGAAAUAAAUCAACAUGUGAAAUAAGACCGAGAUGUAUGCUUUUGUGAUUAUCUAUGUGGAUAUUUGUGCCUAUAAUGUUACUUUUAGAAUUCCUAGUACUUUUAUAUAGUAACUUUAAGUUUGUUAAAUAUUUUAAAGAUAACAUGAUUCUAUUAAAUUUUGCAUGUUAAACUCUUAUUCUAAUAAUUUUUGUAGGUUAAUUGGUCUGAUGUUAAUAAUUCCUUAUAUGUGAAAAAUGUUUCAGCAUGUCUUAUCACGUAAACAUCAUGCCUCUGCGAUUGGAUUAGUAUGUCAACAAAUUGACCAUAAAUAUUCAUCAAUGUAGUUUGUCACUAGAGAAGCAUGCCUAUAGGAUUUGAAUGACUUCCAACAUGUAUGGGUUUACAUAUCAUGUACAUAUGGUUUCAAACUUUGUUAUAUAUUAUUUUUAUAGAUACCAUGUGUUAGGCUGUACUAUUUGUUCUUCAUUUAUUCUCUGUAACAAAAAAUACUAUUAAUUAUUAAUAUAUGUACCCACCGUCGUGGAAGUUUAAUCACGAGGUGUUACCACAAAAUAUUGGUUUCACUCUUUCGGUCUCUAGAUCUCUCAUUUCUUUUUCUUGAAAGUUCUUGUGUUCUUCAUUCAUCAAGUGUGUGUGUGUGGAUUCGAUCCUAACAACUGGUAUUAGAGCGAAGGAUUUUCAACACGAUCACUUAAGAUUGAUAGUUCGAAGCUUGGAAUUGAGAUGUUUGAUAGAUCCGAUUUUAGUUUCUC